AAAACAUAGNUUAAAGNAAAGUUCAUUUUAAGUGAAACCUGCCCNGUGAAAUUUUUUUAAACGGCCGCAGUACCCUGACUGUGCAAAGGUAGCAUAAUAAGUUGUCUUUUAAAUGAAGACUAGAAUGAAUGGAUAAAUGGGAGAAAGCUGUCUCUUGGGUACUUAAUAAAACUUGAUUAAAGGGUGAAAAUACCCUUGGUAAAAAGAAGGACGAGAAGACCCUAAGAGCCUCAGUUAUUUUAAGUAAAAUAUAAUUAAUGCUUAAUUAGCUUUUGUUGGGGCAACAAUGUAUAACAAAAAAAAAAUACAUUUUUAUUUUAGCUUUAAAAAUAUUUGUCGAUACUUUUAACUUCAUUAAAAAAAUAUUAUAAAUUUUUUGAAAUAUAAAUUAUAAGAAAGAAAAGGCUACCUUAGGGAUAACAGCUUAAUACUACACCAAAAUUGUGUUUGAGACCUCGAUGUUGGACUAGGGACUUUAUGAUCAGAAGUCAAAAAAGCUCUUCCGUCG
RNAcentral lists this ribosomal RNA (508 nucleotides) under Pedipes ovalis. Its description in RNAcentral is "partial 16S ribosomal RNA". The stretch from base 1 to 197 matches the Rfam family "Archaeal large subunit ribosomal RNA", at positions 1902 to 2143 of the family's 2987-position model. The record is from RNAcentral. Lineage: Eukaryota; Metazoa; Mollusca; Gastropoda; Ellobiida; Ellobiidae.